UGAGCGCUGGCGGCAGGCCUAACGACAUGCAAGUCGAGCGGAUGACAGGAGCUUGCUCCUGAAUUCAGCGGCGGACGGGUGAGUAAUGCCUAGGAAUCUGCCUGGUAGUGGGGGACAACGUUUCGAAAGGAACGCUAAUACCGCAUACGUCCUACGGGAGAAAGCAGGGGAACCUUCGGCCUUGCGCUAUCAGAUGAGCCUAGGUCGGAUUAGCUAGUUGGUGAGGUAACUGGCUCACCCAAGGCGACGAUCCGUAACUGGUCUGAGAGGAUGAUCAGUCACACUGGAACUGAGACACGGUCCAGACUCCUACGGGAGGCAGCAGUGGGGAAUAUUGGACAAUGGGCGAAAGCCUGAUCCAGCCAUGCCGCGUGUGUGAAGAAGGUCUUCGGAUUGUAAAGCACUUUAAGUUGGGAGAAGGGCAUUAACCCUAAUACGUUAGUGUUUUUGACGUUACCGACAGAAUAAGCACCGGCUAACUCUGUG
Molecule: ribosomal RNA, 486 nt
Filed under: uncultured bacterium
Lineage: Bacteria
Description: bacterial SSU rRNA
Rfam family: Bacterial small subunit ribosomal RNA
Source: RNAcentral